CACGUAGGCGGAUCUUUAAGUCAGAGGUGAAAUCCCAAGGCUCAACCUUGGAACUGCCUUUGAUACUGGGGAUCUAGAGUCCGGGAGAGGUGAGUGGAACUGCGAGUGUAGAGGUGAAAUUCGUAGAUAUUCGCAAGAACACCAGUGGCGAAGGCAGCUCACUGGCCCGGUACUGACGCUGAGGUGCGAAAGCGUGGGGAGCAAACA
Molecule: ribosomal RNA, 207 nt
Filed under: uncultured bacterium
Lineage: Bacteria
Description: partial 16S ribosomal RNA
Rfam family: Bacterial small subunit ribosomal RNA
Source: RNAcentral